Molecule: unclassified non-coding RNA, 787 nt
Filed under: Hevea brasiliensis (rubber tree)
Lineage: Eukaryota; Viridiplantae; Streptophyta; Magnoliopsida; Malpighiales; Euphorbiaceae
Source: RNAcentral
GAAACCACCACGGACCACACUCAUCUCAUCUCAUUUCCCAUAAAAACCUUUCAAGAAAUUAACCAUCUCCCCAGCUUCAAACUUCAAACCCACAAGCAAAAUCACCUGAAUUUGAAAGAAACCAUCAUCAAUCAAACUUCAAGAACCUUGAAAAUGCCAACGAGUAGAAACUUCUCUCUUAUGUUCAUCUAUCUCCUGUUGUUAUCUUCUAUUAUAGGCAUAACUACGGGCGGACGUGUCAUCCCCUCAAGUGUUCCAAGCACCAUGAGGCCUCUGAGUGCACAAGGUGGAGAUUUUGUGAAAAUCAGGCCUCAUUUUAACCACCAGCAACCAGUUUUUGGUGGAAGAGAAGCCAACGGUUGCUUGCCAAAAGGGUUUAGGCAUUCCUCAGCUCCUAGCAGAUAUGUCAAUAACCAGCCAUUUGGUUCUUGCUCUAAUAUACCAGCUGAGAAGCCAUAAUCACUUCAUUAUUGCUUCAUCACUUGAGGAAGAUGGUAGCCUAUAUAUAUAUAUCAGUCUCCCUGCUCUCAUUUCCAUGUUGGGUAAGUGAUUAGUGGUUAAGAAGGAUCUAAGGAAGGAUAUGAACUGUAUUUCACUUCCAUAGUUUUGAGAAAGAUGUAAGUUUACAUAUCUUAUGUAUACUUUAAAUGAUGAUUUUCUUUUUAAUUUUAUUUAUUUGAUAAAUUUUUCUGUUAAUUAUAUUCUAUGUCUAUGGUAUAGUGUGAGAGCACCAUUUUCUUAACCUCCGCCCUUUUUAAUUAAAAAAAUAAAAUAGAAUGAAAUGAAG